Molecule: ribosomal RNA, 497 nt
Filed under: uncultured bacterium
Lineage: Bacteria
Description: partial 16S ribosomal RNA
Rfam family: Bacterial small subunit ribosomal RNA
Source: RNAcentral
GACGAACGCUGGCGGCGUGCCUAAUACAUGCAAGUUGAGCGAUGAAGAUUGGUGCUUGUCCCAAUUUGAAGAGCAGCGAACGGGUGAGUAACGCGUGGGGAAUCUGCCUUUGAGCGGGGGACAACAUUUGGAAACGAAUGCUAAUACCGCAUAACAACUUUAAACAUAAGUUUUAAGUUUGAAAGAUGCAAUUGCAUCACUCAAAGAUGAUCCCGCGUUGUAUUAGCUAGUUGGUGAGGUAAAGGCUCACCAAGGCGAUGAUACAUAGCCGACCUGAGAGGGUGAUCGGCCACAUUGGGACUGAGACACGGCCCAAACUCCUACGGGAGGCAGCAGUAGGGAAUCUUCGGCAAUGGACGAAAGUCUGACCGAGCAACGCCGCGUGAGUGAAGAAGGUUUUCGGAUCGUAAAACUCUGUUGGUAGAGAAGAACGUUGGUGAGAGUGGAAAGCUCAUCAAGUGACGGUAACUACCCAGAAAGGGACGGCUAACUACGUG